GGGCCCGUAGCUCAGCUGGAUAGAGCACUAGGCUUCUAACCUAGGGGUCGAGGGUUCGAAUCCCUUCGGGCUCGCCA
This 77-nucleotide transfer RNA is filed under the name archaeon. RNAcentral describes it as "tRNA-Arg". It matches the Rfam family "tRNA". From Rfam's summary of the family: Transfer RNA (tRNA) molecules are approximately 80 nucleotides in length. Their secondary structure includes four short double-helical elements and three loops (D, anti-codon, and T loops). The record is from RNAcentral.